CCUACGGGUGGCAGCAGUCGAGAAUCAUUCACAAUGGGGGAAACCCUGAUGGUGCGACGCCGCGUGGGGGAAUGAAGGUCUUCGGAUUGUAAACCCCUGUCAUGUGGGAGCAAAUUAAAAAGAUAGUACCACAAGAGGAAGAGACGGCUAACUCUGUGCCAGCAGCCGCGGUAAUACAGAGGUCUCAAGCGUUGUUCGGAAUCACUGGUCGUAAAGCGUGCGUAGGCUGUUUCGUAAGUCGUGUGUGAAAGGCGCGGGCUCAACCCGCGGACGGCAGAUGAUACUGGGAGACUGGAGUAAGGGAGGGGGAACCGGAAUUCUCGGUGUAGCAGUGAAAUGCGUAGAUAUCGAGAGGAACACUCGUGGCGAAGGCGGGUUCCUGGACAUUAACUGACGCUGAGGCACGAAGGCCAGGGGAGCGAAAGGGAUUAGAUACCCGUGUAGUC
RNAcentral lists this ribosomal RNA (446 nucleotides) under uncultured bacterium. RNAcentral's name for it is "partial 16S ribosomal RNA". It matches the Rfam family "Bacterial small subunit ribosomal RNA", at positions 338 to 795 of the family's 1533-position model. The record is from RNAcentral.